RNAcentral lists this ribosomal RNA (432 nucleotides) under uncultured bacterium. Its description in RNAcentral is "partial 16S ribosomal RNA". It matches the Rfam family "Bacterial small subunit ribosomal RNA", at positions 29 to 507 of the family's 1533-position model. The record is from RNAcentral.
ACGAACGCUGGCGGCAGGCCUCACACAUGCAAGUCGCGCGCGGACUUCGGUUCUAGCGGCGGACGGGUGAGUAACGCGUGGGAAUGUGCCCUUCUCUACGGAAUAGCCCUGGGAAACUGGGAGUAAUACCGUAUACGCCCUAUUGGGGAAAGAUUUAUCGGAGAAGGAUCAGCCCGCGUUGGAUUAGGUAGUUGGUGGGGUAAUGGCCUACCAAGCCGACGAUCCAUAGCUGGUUUGAGAGGAUGAUCAGCCACACUGGGACUGAGACACGGCCCAGACUCCUACGGGAGGCAGCAGUGGGGAAUCUUAGACAAUGGGGGCAACCCUGAUCUAGCCAUGCCGCGUGAGUGAUGAAGGCCUUAGGGUUGUAAAGCUCUUUCAGCUGGGAAGAUAAUGACGGUACCAGCAGAAGAAGCCCCGGCUAACUCCGUG